RNAcentral lists this transfer RNA (72 nucleotides) under Hufsiella ginkgonis. It matches the Rfam family "tRNA". From Rfam's summary of the family: Transfer RNA (tRNA) molecules are approximately 80 nucleotides in length. Their secondary structure includes four short double-helical elements and three loops (D, anti-codon, and T loops). The record is from Rfam by way of RNAcentral. Lineage: Bacteria; Pseudomonadati; Bacteroidota; Sphingobacteriia; Sphingobacteriales; Sphingobacteriaceae.
AGUCCUGUAGUGUAAUGGUUACCACACCAGACUCUGACUCUGUUGAUCUUGGUUCGAAUCCAGGCAGGACUA